This 336-nucleotide ribosomal RNA is filed under the name uncultured bacterium. Its description in RNAcentral is "bacterial SSU rRNA". It matches the Rfam family "Bacterial small subunit ribosomal RNA", at positions 72 to 422 of the family's 1533-position model. The record is from RNAcentral.
AAGUGGAGCAAUCCAUGAGUAAAGUGGCGACCGGGUGAGUAACACGUGACUAACCUACCUUCGAGUGGGGAAUAACCUGGGGAAACCGGGGCUAAUACCGCAUAAUGUCUUCGGACCAAAGGAGCAAUUCGCUGGAAGAGGGGGUCGCGGCCGAUUAGCUAGUUGGCGGGGUAACGGCCCACCAAGGCAAUGAUCGGUAGCCGGCCUGAGAGGGCGCACGGCCACACUGGAACUGAAACACGGUCCAGACUCCUACGGGAGGCAGCAGUGGGGAAUUUUGCGCAAUGGGGGAAACCCUGACGCAGCAACGCCGCGUGGAGGAUGAAGCCCCUUGGG